This 74-nucleotide transfer RNA is filed under the name Dallia pectoralis (Alaska blackfish). RNAcentral describes it as "tRNA-OTHER". It matches the Rfam family "tRNA". Rfam says of the family: Transfer RNA (tRNA) molecules are approximately 80 nucleotides in length. Their secondary structure includes four short double-helical elements and three loops (D, anti-codon, and T loops). Lineage: Eukaryota; Metazoa; Chordata; Actinopteri; Esociformes; Umbridae. The record is from RNAcentral.
GCUCCUGUGGCGCAAUCGGUUAACGCGCGGUACUUAUAAUGCCGAGGUUGUGAGUUCGAGCCUCACCUGGAGCA